GAUGAAGAACGUAGCGAAAUGCGAUAACUAAUGUGAAUUGCAGAAUUCCGUGAAUCAUCGAGUCUUUGAACGCACAUUGCGCCCCCUGGUAUUCCGGGGGGCAUGCCUGUCCGAGCGUCAUUGCUGCCCAUCAAGCACGGCUUGUGUGUUGGGUCCCGUCCCCCUCUCCCGGGGGACGGACCCGAAAGGCAGCGGCGGCACCGCGUCCGGUCCUCGAGCGUAUGGGGCUUUGUCACCCGCUCUUGUAGGCCCGGCCGGCGCUUGCCGACACCCAACCAUCUUUUUCAGGUUGACCUCGGAUCAGGUAGGGAUACCCGCUGAACUUAAGCAUAUCAAUAAGCGGAGGA
Molecule: unclassified non-coding RNA, 347 nt
Filed under: soil metagenome
Description: partial contains 5.8S ribosomal RNA, internal transcribed spacer 2, and large subunit ribosomal RNA
Rfam family: 5.8S ribosomal RNA (bases 1-120)
Source: RNAcentral